This 243-nucleotide ribosomal RNA is filed under the name uncultured bacterium. RNAcentral's name for it is "partial 16S ribosomal RNA". It matches the Rfam family "Bacterial small subunit ribosomal RNA", at positions 109 to 353 of the family's 1533-position model. The record is from RNAcentral.
AGUAAUGUCUGGGAAACUGCCUGAUGGAGGGGGAUAACUACUGGAAACGGUGGCUAAUACCGCAUAAUGUCUACGGACCAAAGCAGGGGCUCUUCGGACCUUGCACUAUCGGAUGAACCCAUAUGGGAUUAGCUAGUAGGUAGGGUAAAGGCUCACCUAGGCGACGAUCUCUAGCUGGUCUGAGAGGAUGAUCAGCCACACUGGGACUGAGACACGGCUCAGACUCCUACGGGAGGCAGCAUG